Molecule: unclassified non-coding RNA, 305 nt
Filed under: plant metagenome
Description: partial contains 5.8S ribosomal RNA, internal transcribed spacer 2, and large subunit ribosomal RNA
Rfam family: 5.8S ribosomal RNA (bases 1-105)
Source: RNAcentral
GAAAUGCGAUAAGUAAUGUGAAUUGCAGAAUUCAGUGAAUCAUCGAAUCUUUGAACGCACAUUGCGCCCGCCAGUAUUCUGGCGGGCAUGCCUGUUCGAGCGUCAUUUCAACCAUCAAGCCCCGGGCUUGUGUUGGGGACCUGCGGCUGCCGCAGGCCCUGAAAACCAGUGGCGGGCUCGCUGUCACACCGAGCGUAGUAGAUUCUCAUCUCGCUCAGGGCGUGCUGCGGGUUACGGCCGUAAAACAGCCUUAUUUUACCCAAGGUUGACCUCGGAUCAGGUAGGAAGACCCGCUGAACUUAAGC